Ixodes scapularis (black-legged tick) is the source of this 73-nucleotide non-coding RNA. NCBI's taxonomy places the organism in Eukaryota, Metazoa, Arthropoda, Arachnida, Ixodida, Ixodidae. The record is from Rfam.
UCCUGGUUAGCCUAGUUGGCAGUGCACUCUACUGGAAAUGAAGAGGUCCCAGGUUCGAUACCAGGAUCAGGGG